GACGAACGCUGGCGGCGUGCCUAAUACAUGCAAGUAGAACGCACAGUUUAUACCGUAGCUUGCUACACCAUAGACUGUGAGUUGCGAACGGGUGAGUAACGCGUAGGUAACCUGCCUGGUAGCGGGGGGUAACUAUUGGAAACGAUAGCUAAUACCGCAUAAUAUUGAUUAUUGCAUGAUAAUUGAUUGAAAGAUGCUAUUGCAUCACUACCAGAUGGACCUGCGUUGUAUUAGCUAGUAGGUGAGGUAACGGCUCACCUAGGCGACGAUACAUAGCCGACCUGAGAGGGUGAUCGGCCACCCUGGGACGGAGACACGGCCCAGACUCCUACGGGAGGCAGCAGUAGGGAAUCUUCGGCAAUGGACGAAAGUCUGACCGAGCAACGCCGCGUGAGUGAAGAAGGUUUUCGGAUCGUAAAGCUCUGUUGUAAGAGAAGAACGGGUGUGAGAGUGGAAAGUUCACACUGUGACGGUAUCUUACCAGAAAGGGACGGCUAACUACGUG
Molecule: ribosomal RNA, 505 nt
Filed under: uncultured bacterium
Lineage: Bacteria
Description: partial 16S ribosomal RNA
Rfam family: Bacterial small subunit ribosomal RNA
Source: RNAcentral